GUACCCUUGCCCUCCACGCGCGAGCAGUGGGCUGCGUUCUUGGGCGAGAGGGAGAGUGAACAAGGCUUCUACCAUACCUCACUGGCUAGCGUGGGAAGCAUCUGAGCACAAAUGUGGAUCACUGAAGACAGUACUGGAAGCGCCAUUUGCAGGUAACCACACCUCUGAAACAGGACACACUUGGUGCUAAAGCCAGCACAAGCCCAACAAGCCAAUUCUAUUGUGUAAAAGAACUCUUAAAACUCAAAGAUAAGAAAACAAAGAAUUUAAGAAUGGGCAAAAGAUCUCAACAAAGAUAUACUGAUGGCAAAAAAGCAUAUGAAAAGACACUUAACAUCAUAUGUCAUUCGGGAACUGCAAAUCAAAACAAUGAUGCCCCUACACAUCUAUUAAAAUGGCUAAAAUCCAAAACACUGACAAUACCAAACACUGUGGUUAAGAAUCCGCCUGCCAAUGCAGGGAACACAGGUUCGAGCCCUGGUCCGGGAAGAUCCCACAUGCCGUGGAGCAACUAAGCCCAUGCGCCACAACUACUGAGCCUGCGCUCUAGAACCCGCAAGCCACAACUACUGAGCCCGCGUGCCACAACUACUGAAGCCCACGCGCCUAGAGCCCAUGCUCCGCAACAAGAGAGGACACCGCAAUGAGAAGCCCGCACACCACAACAAAGAGUAGCCCCGGCUCGCCCCAACUAGAGAAAGCCCGCACGCAGCAACAAAGACCCAACGCAGCCAAAAAUAAAUUUAAAUAAAUAAAUAA
Long non-coding RNA from Eubalaena glacialis (North Atlantic right whale), 759 nucleotides. RefSeq lists it as uncharacterized. Lineage: Eukaryota; Metazoa; Chordata; Mammalia; Artiodactyla; Balaenidae. The record is from RefSeq and is a predicted model, not a curated record. The transcript is spliced from 4 exons.